Molecule: small RNA, 903 nt
Filed under: Pan troglodytes (chimpanzee)
Lineage: Eukaryota; Metazoa; Chordata; Mammalia; Primates; Hominidae
Description: processed transcript
Source: RNAcentral
UGAGCAGUACUGCGGCCUCCUCUCCUAACCUCGCUCUCGCGGCCUACCUUUACCCGCCCGCCUGCUCGGCGCCCAGCGGGGAUCCUCCCCCAGCCGCAAGUCCACGAAGAAAACAACGAAUGAAAAUUAUGAAGACAACGAGAAGUCAGACUCCUCCGGGUCGCGCUCCAGCUGCUUCGGCUUCGUCGCCUACUCUGUGAACUCCGGGGAGAGAUCUCGAGUCAAGAUUAAGACCUUAACCCACCAACCUGCCUGUUCGGACACCCCCCGGGCCGGCCGCUGUCUGUCCCCUUCUCCAUCGCCCUCUCCCAGAAAGCUCCGGUGCUUGGACCAGCUAGAGUCUGAGAAAGAGGAGAGGCGCGAACGCCACUCCAAAAAGAGAAGGGUUAAAGAGGGCAACCCUAACGAUACGCUUGACUUUCUGUGGCUGGGAACACCUUCCACCAUGACCACCUCAGCAAGUUCCCACUUAAAUAAAGGCAUCAAGCAGGUGUACAUGUCCCUGCCUCAGGGUGAGAAAGUCCAGGCCAUGUAUAUCUGGAUCGAUGGUACUGGAGAAGGCCUGCGCUGCAAGACCCGGACUCUGGACAGUGAGCCCAAGUGUGUGGAAGAGUUGCCUGAGUGGAAUUUCGAUGGCUCUAGUACUUUACAGUCUGAGGGUUCCAACAGUGACAUGUAUCUCGUGCCUGCUGCCAUGUUUCGGGACCCCUUCCGUAAGGACCCUAACAAGCUGGUGUUAUGUGAAGUUUUCAAGUACAAUCGAAGGCCUGCAGAGACCAAUUUGAGGCACACCUGUAAACGGAUAAUGGACAUGGUGAGCAACCAGCACCCCUGGUUUGGCAUGGAGCAGGAGUAUACCCUCAUGGGGACAGAUGGGCACCCCUUUGGUUGGCCUUCCAACGG